GACGAACGCUGGCGGCGUGCUUAACACAUGCAAGUGGAGCGACGAACCGGGCUUGCCCGGGGCAGAGCCGCGAACGGGUGAGUAACACGUGGGUUACCUACCCCGAUGAUUGGGACAACCCGAGGAAACUCGGGCUAAUACCAAAUGUGCUCGUGGCCAUAAUGGCCUCGAGGAAAGGAAGCUUCGGCCUCCGCAUCGGGAUGGGCCCGCGGCCCAUUAGCUAGUUGGUGGGGUAACGGCCUACCAAGGCGACGAUGGGUAGCUGGUCUG
This 270-nucleotide ribosomal RNA is filed under the name uncultured bacterium. RNAcentral describes it as "partial 16S ribosomal RNA". It matches the Rfam family "Bacterial small subunit ribosomal RNA", at positions 28 to 294 of the family's 1533-position model. The record is from RNAcentral.